This 406-nucleotide ribosomal RNA is filed under the name uncultured Candidatus Saccharibacteria bacterium. RNAcentral describes it as "bacterial SSU rRNA". It matches the Rfam family "Bacterial small subunit ribosomal RNA", at positions 355 to 777 of the family's 1533-position model. Lineage: Bacteria; Candidatus Saccharimonadota. The record is from RNAcentral.
UGAGGAAUCUUCCACAAUGGGCGAAAGCCUGAUGGAGCAACGCCGCGUGCAGGAUGAAGGCCUUCGGGUUGUAAACUGCUUUUAUGAGUGAAGAAUAUGACGGUAACUCAUGAAUAGCACCGGCUAACUACGUGCCAGCAGCCGCGGUCAUACGUAGGGUGCAAGCAUUAUCCGGCGUGACUGGGCGUAAAGAGUUGCGUAGGUGGUUUAUUAAGUGAAUAGUGAAAGCUGGAGGCUCAACCUUACAGACUAUUAUUCAAACUGAUAAACUCGAGAGUAGUAGAGGUAACUGGAAUUUCUUGUGUAGGAGUGGAAUCCGUAGAUAUAAGAAGGAACACCAAUGGCGUAGGCAGGUUACUGGACUAUCUCUGACACUGAGGCACGAAAGCGUGGGGAGCGAACCGGA